Molecule: ribosomal RNA, 253 nt
Filed under: uncultured bacterium
Lineage: Bacteria
Description: partial 16S ribosomal RNA
Rfam family: Bacterial small subunit ribosomal RNA
Source: RNAcentral
UACGGGGGGGGCAAGCGUUGUUCGGAAUUACUGGGCGUAAAGGGCUCGUAGGCGGCCAACUAAGUCAGACGUGAAAUCCCUCGGCUUAACCGGGGAACUGCAUCUGAUACUGGAUGGCUUGAGAUUGGGAGAGGGAUGCGGAAUUCCAGGUGUAGCGGUGAAAUGCGUAGAUAUCUGGAGGAACACCGGUGGCGAAGGCGGCAUCCUGGACCGAGAUCGACGCUGAGGCGCGAAAGCUAGGGGAGCAAACGGG